Molecule: ribosomal RNA, 497 nt
Filed under: uncultured bacterium
Lineage: Bacteria
Description: partial 16S ribosomal RNA
Rfam family: Bacterial small subunit ribosomal RNA
Source: RNAcentral
GAUGAACGCUGGCGGCGUGCCUAAUACAUGCCAGUCGAGCGAACAGACGAGGAGCUUGCUCCUCUGACGUUAGCGGCGGACGGGUGAGUAACACGUGGAUAACCUACCUAUAAGACUGGGAUAACUUCGGGAAACCGGAGCUAAUACCGGAUAAUAUAUUGAACCGCAUGGUUCAAUAGUGAAAGACGGUUUUGCUGUCACUUAUAGAUGGAUCCGCGCCGCAUUAGCUAGUUGGUAAGGUAACGGCUUACCAAGGCAACGAUGCGUAGCCGACCUGAGAGGGUGAUCGGCCACACUGGAACUGAGACACGGUCAAGACUACUACGGGAGGCAGCAGUAGGGAAUAUUCCGCAAUGGGCGAAAGCCUGACGGAGCAACGCCGCGUGAGUGAUGAAGGUCUUCGGAUCGUAAAACUCUGUUAUUAGGGAAGAACAAAUGUGUAAGUAACUAUGCACGUCUUGACGGUACCUAAUCAGAAAGCCACGGCUAACUACGUG